RNAcentral lists this ribosomal RNA (283 nucleotides) under uncultured bacterium. Its description in RNAcentral is "partial 16S ribosomal RNA". It matches the Rfam family "Bacterial small subunit ribosomal RNA", at positions 773 to 1060 of the family's 1533-position model. The record is from RNAcentral.
GUGGAUUAGAUACCCUAGUAGUCCACGCCCUAAACGAUGAUAACUCGAUGUUGGCGAUACACAGUCAGCGUCUUAGCGAAAGCGUUAAGUUAUCCACCUGGGGAGUACGCCCGCAAGGGUGAAACUCAAAGGAAUUGACGGGGGCCCGCACAAGCGGAGGAGCAUGUGGUUUAAUUCGAUGAUACGCGAGGAACCUUACCCGGGCUUGAAAGUUACUGAAUUAUCUAGAGAUAGAUAAGUCCUUCGGGACAGGAAACUAGGUGCUGCACGGUCGUCGACAACU